GUGGGGAAUAUUGCACAAUGGGCGAAAGCCUGAUGCAGCAACGCCGCGUGAGGGACGACGGCCUUCGGGUUGUAAACCUCUUUUAGUAGGGAAGAAGCGAAAGUGACGGUACCUGCAGAAAAAGCACCGGCUAACUACGUGCCAGCAGCCGCGGUAAUACGUAGGGUGCAAGCGUUAUCCGGAAUUAUUGGGCGUAAAGAGCUCGUAGGCGGUCUGUCGCGUCUGCUGUGAAAACUGGAGGCUCAACCUCCAGCCUGCAGUGGGUACGGGCAGACUAGAGUGCGGUAGGGGAGAUUGGAAUUCCUGGUGUAGCGGUGGAAUGCGCAGAUAUCAGGAGGAACACCGAUGGCGAAGGCAGAUCUCUGGGCCGUAACUGACGCUGAGGAGCGAAAGCGUGGGGAGCGAACAGGAUUAGAUACCCUGGUAGUCC
RNAcentral lists this ribosomal RNA (430 nucleotides) under uncultured bacterium. Its description in RNAcentral is "bacterial SSU rRNA". It matches the Rfam family "Bacterial small subunit ribosomal RNA", at positions 354 to 796 of the family's 1533-position model. The record is from RNAcentral.